UCCCUGUUGACUCAGCUGGUAAAGAAUCUGCCUACAAUACAGGAAAACCCAGGUUCGAUCCCUGGAUUGGGAA
This 73-nucleotide transfer RNA is filed under the name Bos taurus (domestic cattle). It matches the Rfam family "tRNA". Rfam says of the family: Transfer RNA (tRNA) molecules are approximately 80 nucleotides in length. Their secondary structure includes four short double-helical elements and three loops (D, anti-codon, and T loops). Further hydrogen bonds mediate the characteristic L-shaped molecular structure. tRNAs have two regions of fundamental functional importance: the anti-codon, which is responsible for specific mRNA codon recognition, and the 3' end, to which the tRNAs corresponding amino acid is attached (by aminoacyl-tRNA synthetases). tRNAs cope with the degeneracy of the genetic code in two manners: having more than one tRNA (with a specific anti-codon) for a particular amino acid; and 'wobble' base-pairing, i.e. permitting non-standard base-pairing at the 3rd anti-codon position. Lineage: Eukaryota; Metazoa; Chordata; Mammalia; Artiodactyla; Bovidae. The record is from Rfam by way of RNAcentral. RNAcentral also lists the same sequence under 2 other names.